UACGGGGGGUGCGAGCGUUAAUCGGAAUUACUGGGCGUAAAGGGCACGCAGGCGGACUGUCAAGUGAGGUGUGAAAUCCCCGGGCUUAACCUGGGAAUUGCAUUUCAUACUGGGAGACUAGAGUACUGUAGGGAGGGGUAGAAUUCCACGUGUAGCGGUGAAAUGCGUAGAGAUGUGGAGGAAUACCGAAGGCGAAGGCGGCCCCUUGGACAUGGACUGACGCUCAUGUGCGAAAGCGUGGGGAGCAAACAGG
RNAcentral lists this ribosomal RNA (253 nucleotides) under uncultured bacterium. RNAcentral describes it as "partial 16S ribosomal RNA". It matches the Rfam family "Bacterial small subunit ribosomal RNA", at positions 524 to 776 of the family's 1533-position model. The record is from RNAcentral.